This 170-nucleotide ribosomal RNA is filed under the name Cercamia cladara (frail cardinalfish). RNAcentral's name for it is "partial small subunit ribosomal RNA". Lineage: Eukaryota; Metazoa; Chordata; Actinopteri; Kurtiformes; Apogonidae. The record is from RNAcentral.
AACCGCGGUUAUACGAGGGGCCCAAGCUGACAGUUUCACGGCGUAAAGCGUGGUUAAGACUCAUAAUAAACUAAAGCCGAACACCUUUACAGCUGUUAUACGCUUGCAAAGGAGGGAAGAACUACCACGAAAGUGGCUUUAUACUAUCUGAACCCACGAAAGCUAGAGCA